AACCUGCUGAAGGAUCAUGUGCACACGUGUGUACACUAACCUGCUAAUGAUAUUGUGGGCGGUGUAAGCUUGCAUUACAAUAAUAUUACAUGUGCCCUGGGCUGUGUGACUUGUUUUGCAAACAUUCGUUAUGCAUUGCAUAAACAAGUUUGGUAAACUGAGUGGUGCUGUGUUUGUGUACGAUGAUUAGGUUUUGCAACGAAUGUUUUAGUUCAAUACAUGAUGAAUAAUGCAGGACAAUGCAGUAUGCAUUGUGAAUUGCAGAAUUCCGUGAGCUAACAUAUGUUUGAAUGUUACUUGCGCCUUUGGGAUAUUCUUGAAGGUUUGCUUGAUUCAAUGCCAAUUACCUUCCAUAUGCAAUACUGCUGUUUAGCAUUGCUGUGAACAAAGAGAGUCAAUGUGUAUUGCAUUGAACCUGGAUGUGUUGCAGCUGCUUUGCAACCUAAACAUGGUUGAUUGGGGGCAAACUUGUUUCGUCAUGUGCUGGUUGCUGUGUAAAAUGUGAACAACUGAGACAAGCUGAAGACUUGCAUAUGCUUAGCAUGAAGUGAAGCACAUACACCUGCUGAAUUUAAGCAUAUAAGUAAGUGGUGGAAAUUAAACCAAAUGGGAUAUCUUUAGUAAUUGCGAAUGAACAAGGAUAUGCUUAGCUUGACAAAUGGAGCUAUUGGCUUUGAAUUGUAUUUGUGGAAUGUAUUACCAACAGAGGUGCAGGUGCCAGCCUAUUAAAUAAAGCGUCAAUGAGGGUGAGAAUCCUGUUUGUCAUGUGCAGCCCUUUGUGCACGGUGUAUAUUUGCUGAGUCACACUCCUUGGCAUUGGAAAGCAAAGUGGGUGGUAAGUUUCAUGUACAGGUAAACAUGCAAUUGAGACUGAUAGCACACAAGUACCAUGAGGGAAAUAUGAAAAGGACUUUGAAAAGAGAAUUAAAUGAGUUUGUAUUUGCUGAACACAAAGUAAACGGACUUGAUUUGCUUGGUGGGAGUGUUGCACUUGCUUGACAAGAGCUUUGGGCUGUGGGUGUAAUGAUUCUUUCUUUGCAUGCCAGUUUCUAUGUGUACAUCUGAUUACCUUUGCACAUGAAUGAUAAGUCUCCUGUGGGGGGUGGAUUGCAUGUGCAUGUAAUGAUUUGUGUUUUGAUAAAUGUGUCUGGUGUAUGUGUGUGUGUUCCUGUGCUUGGGGAUGCUUCCUUCCUUGGACUUACAAGCCCUGACACACACAUGCUGGCAAAAUGCUUCUGCUUGACCCGUCUUGAAACACGGACCAAGGAGUCUAACAUAUGUGCAACGUUUGAAGGUGGUAUACCUUUGUGUGCAAUGAAAGUGUCAGCUGGGAUGUGUGCACCAGCACCCAAUUAAUUAGCGGACAGAGGUUUGAGUUGGAGCAUAUCUAUUAGGACC
RNAcentral lists this ribosomal RNA (1398 nucleotides) under Alexandrium tamarense species complex group I. Its description in RNAcentral is "eukaryotic LSU rRNA". The stretch from base 539 to 1398 matches the Rfam family "Eukaryotic large subunit ribosomal RNA", at positions 1 to 816 of the family's 3401-position model. The record is from RNAcentral. Lineage: Eukaryota; Dinophyceae; Gonyaulacales; Pyrocystaceae.